UUGAAGAGUUUGAUCAUGGCUCAGAUUGAACGCUGGCGGCAGGCCUAACACAUGCAAGUCGAGCGGUAGCACAGAGAGCUUGCUCUCGGGUGACGAGCGGCGGACGGGUGAGUAAUGUCUGGGAAACUGCCUGAUGGAGGGGGAUAACUACUGGAAACGGUAGCUAAUACCGCAUAACGUCGCAAGACCAAAGUGGGGGACCUUCGGGCCUCAUGCCAUCAGAUGUGCCCAGAUGGGAUUAGCUAGUAGGUGGGGUAACGGCUCACCUAGGCGACGAUCCCUAGCUGGUCUGAGAGGAUGACCAGCCACACUGGAACUGAGACACGGUCCAGACUCCUACGGGAGGCAGCAGUGGGGAAUAUUGCACAAUGGGCGCAAGCCUGAUGCAGCCAUGCCGCGUGUGUGAAGAAGGCCUUCGGGUUGUAAAGCACUUUCAGCGGGGAGGAAGGCGGUGAGGUUAAUAACCUCAUCGAUUGACGUUACCCGCAGAAGAAGCACCGGCUAACUCCGUGCCAGCAGCCGCGGUAAUACGGAGGGUGCAAGCGUUAAUCGGAAUUACUGGGCGUAAAGCGCACGCAGGCGGUCUGUCAAGUCGGAUGUGAAAUCCCCGGGCUCAACCUGGGAACUGCAUUCGAAACUGGCAGGCUAGAGUCUUGUAGAGGGGGGUAGAAUUCCAGGUGUAGCGGUGAAAUGCGUAGAGAUCUGGAGGAAUACCGGUGGCGAAGGCGGCCCCCUGGACAAAGACUGACGCUCAGGUGCGAAAGCGUGGGGAGCAAACAGGAUUAGAUACCCUGGUAGUCCACGCUGUAAACGAUGUCGAUUUGGAGGUUGUGCCCUUGAGGCGUGGCUUCCGGAGCUAACGCGUUAAAUCGACCGCCUGGGGAGUACGGCCGCAAGGUUAAAACUCAAAUGAAUUGACGGGGGCCCGCACAAGCGGUGGAGCAUGUGGUUUAAUUCGAUGCAACGCGAAGAACCUUACCUGGUCUUGACAUCCACAGAACUUUCCAGAGAUGGAUUGGUGCCUUCGGGAACUGUGAGACAGGUGCUGCAUGGCUGUCGUCAGCUCGUGUUGUGAAAUGUUGGGUUAAGUCCCGCAACGAGCGCAACCCUUAUCCUUUGUUGCCAGCGGUUAGGCCGGGAACUCAAAGGAGACUGCCAGUGAUAAACUGGAGGAAGGUGGGGAUGACGUCAAGUCAUCAUGGCCCUUACGACCAGGGCUACACACGUGCUACAAUGGCAUAUACAAAGAGAAGCGACCUCGCGAGAGCAAGCGGACCUCAUAAAGUAUGUCGUAGUCCGGAUUGGAGUCUGCAACUCGACUCCAUGAAGUCGGAAUCGCUAGUAAUCGUAGAUCAGAAUGCUACGGUGAAUACGUUCCCGGGCCUUGUACACACCGCCCGUCACACCAUGGGAGUGGGUUGCAAAAGAAGUAGGUAGCUUAACCUUCGGGAGGGCGCUUACCACUUUGUGAUUCAUGACUGGGGUGAAGUCGUAACAAGGUAACCGUAGGGGAACCUGCGGUUGGAUCACCUCCUU
This 1536-nucleotide ribosomal RNA is filed under the name Klebsiella variicola. RNAcentral's name for it is "bacterial SSU rRNA". It matches the Rfam family "Bacterial small subunit ribosomal RNA". The record is from RNAcentral. Lineage: Bacteria; Pseudomonadati; Pseudomonadota; Gammaproteobacteria; Enterobacterales; Enterobacteriaceae.